UACGGGGGGGGCAAGCGUUGUUCGGAAUUACUGGGCGUAAAGGGCUCGUAGGCGGCCAACUAAGUCAGACGUGAAAUCCCUCGGCUUAACCGGGGAACUGCGUCUGAUACUGGAUGGCUUGAGAUUGGGAGAGGGAUGCGGAAUUCCAGGUGUAGCGGUGAAAUGCGUAGAUAUCUGGAGGAACACCGGUGGCGAAGGCGGCAUCCUGGACCAUUACUGACACUGAAAAGCGAAAGCCAGGGGAGCAAACGGG
This 253-nucleotide ribosomal RNA is filed under the name uncultured bacterium. Its description in RNAcentral is "partial 16S ribosomal RNA". It matches the Rfam family "Bacterial small subunit ribosomal RNA", at positions 524 to 776 of the family's 1533-position model. The record is from RNAcentral.